This 504-nucleotide ribosomal RNA is filed under the name uncultured bacterium. RNAcentral describes it as "bacterial SSU rRNA". It matches the Rfam family "Bacterial small subunit ribosomal RNA", at positions 28 to 524 of the family's 1533-position model. The record is from RNAcentral.
GAUGAACGCUAGCGGCAGGCCUAAUACAUGCAAGACGAACGGUAAGUUGAGUAGCAAUACUUAGCCAAGAGUGUCGUACGGGUGCGUAACACGUAUGCAACCUACCCUAUACAGGAGGAUAGCCUAGGGAAACCUGGAUUAACCCUUCAUAGUAUUAUUGGAUGGCAUCAUUUGAUAAUUAAAACUGAGGUGGUAUAGGAUGGGCAUGCGUCUGAUUAGUUAGUUGGCGGGGUAAUGGCCCACCAAGACGAUGAUCAGUAGGGGUUCUGAGAGGAAGAUCCCCCACACUGGCACUGAGAUACGGGCCAGACUCCUACGGGAGGCAGCAGUAGGGAAUAUUGGUCAAUGGAUGCAAGUCUGAACCAGCCAUGCCGCGUGCAGGAAGAAGGCCCUUUCUGGGGUUGUAAAACUGCUUUUGCCAGGGGAUAAAAUUUCCAUGCGUGGAAAACUGAAGGUACCUGGUGAAUAAGCCACGGCUAACUACGUGCCAGCAGCCGCGGUAAU